Molecule: ribosomal RNA, 253 nt
Filed under: uncultured bacterium
Lineage: Bacteria
Description: partial 16S ribosomal RNA
Rfam family: Bacterial small subunit ribosomal RNA
Source: RNAcentral
UACGUAGGUGGCGAGCGUUGUCCGGAUUUAUUGGGCGUAAAGCGCGCGCAGGCGGUUCGGUAAGUCUGUCGUGAAAUCUCCCGGCUCAACUGGGAGGGUGCGGUGGAGACUGCCGGACUGGAGGCACGCAGAGGCCGGUGGAAUUCCCGGUGUAGUGGUGAAAUGCGUAGAGAUCGGGAGGAACACCAGUGGCGAAGGCGGCCGGCUGGGGGGGACCUGACGCUGAGGCGCGAAAGCGUGGGGAGCGAACCGG